AUACGUAGGAGGCGAGCGUUGUCCGGAAUGAUUGGGCGUAAAGGGCGCGUAGGCGGCCUGUUAAGUCUGGAGUGAAAGUCCUGUUUUCAAGAUGGGAAUUGCUUUGGAUACUGAUGGGCUUGAGUGCAGGAGAGGUUAUCGGAAUUCCCGGUGUAGCGGUGAAAUGCGUAGAGAUCGGGAGGAACACCAGUGGCGAAGGCGGGUAACUGGACUGCAACUGACGCUGAGGCGCGAAAGUGUGGGGAGCAAACAGGAUUAGAUACCCUGGUAGUCCACGCUGUAAACGAUGAAUGCUAGGUGUAAGAGGUAUCGACCCCUUUUGUGCCGGAGUUAACACAAUAAGCAUUCCGCCUGGGGAGUACGGCCGCAAGGUUGAAACUCAAAGGAAUUGACGGGG
This 397-nucleotide ribosomal RNA is filed under the name uncultured bacterium. RNAcentral's name for it is "partial 16S ribosomal RNA". It matches the Rfam family "Bacterial small subunit ribosomal RNA", at positions 523 to 918 of the family's 1533-position model. The record is from RNAcentral.